Non-coding RNA from Osmia lignaria (orchard mason bee), 13660 nucleotides. The record is from RefSeq and is a predicted model, not a curated record. Lineage: Eukaryota; Metazoa; Arthropoda; Insecta; Hymenoptera; Megachilidae.
AAAUUAUAAACAAUUUUCCUUGGAUAAAUAAAUAAACAGGUGUCCAUAAAAUUGUUAUGCAACAAAGAAAUGCAAAUUGUUGAUUUAAGUUUGCUGUUUUGAAAUUGCAAGAAAUUUUUACAAAGCAGUGAAAAGUUUCCGUCGGACAACUGAAAAAUUACUCAUUUUUAAAAAUAAUUGUUUGUAUUGAUAGAAUCUGUUUCUUUUUUAAAAAUAUUUAUUUCGAACUGAAUAACGUAACUGUUAUGAACAUUUUAUAUUUGAUUAAAAAUUAGUCACCGCGAGAAAGACAUACGCUUCUAAUCAUUGUAAUUCGAGAAAAAUUUGAACAAAAUGACGUGCUUGUUCCUGGAACAUUUUUUUACAUUUCUAUCCUCGUUAAGGUGAAUGUCCGCUCGUGUUUCAUGAAGCUCAUAUUAAUCCAUUAAUGAAUUCCAAAUUUUUCAUUCGCAUAGUUCAUUUACCUUUAAUCCCAGUUUUAAUCAACAUAAAAAUUGCACUUGCAAAAUUCCGGCACAUUACACAUUCAAAUAUUCGAAAUUUCGGAUGAAAAGGGACAAGAUUUAAUCCUCGAAUGGUUGUACUGGGUCAAUGGUGACCCAGACCUAUAAAAGAUACCCAAACGUGUUUCAACAAAAAUUGCUCAUUCGAUUCUUUAAAUCAAAGAUUUUCAUAUAUUUGAAAAAUAAUAUCCGAAGGCAGUAUUGGAUUGAGGGGAAUUAAUUUCUCGGUUUUAUUUCUGAAUGUAAAGAAAUAACAGGAAGUUUGGUAAUGUUAAAUUAGCAGCACUCAGUCAAGUGACGAUUUCGUUUCUAUCUUUUAUUCAAUCACCUUUUAUUCGAUCUCUUUAAUUAUGCACUUCCGUACACCUUUUUUCCCAUAACAGUAAUUUAUUUUUUUCAUUGUUUCUUGCUAUUUCAAAGGAAAAUACUGCAUCCUGAUUUAAUCCUAGAUAUAUUUUCAAAGGAAAUAAGCAAAUCUCAAAGACGUUGCACGCCCAAACAUUAAUUAAUCGCACAGUUGCCUAGGUUGACAGAUUUUUGCUUAUUAACUAUCCACCAGCCAGCUUGGGCAUUGAAUUUCAUUUAUUUUUUAUACAGCGUCGCCUGUCAAUGGCUUCCUCUUCCAAUUUUUCUACCGUUUGAUUAAUUUACGUGGCCCCGCACGCACGAAUCACUGUCUAUCUCGAUCAACCAUUCGAAAAUUCGGCAAAAAUUUAUUUCGAGUACACCGAGAAGAACAUUCGCCCCCGUUUACUUUUGUUUCACGAAACGCACCACUGACGGAGAUGUACCAUUUUCACGCGGAGACUUUAUUUUAAUCCUUAAUGAAGAUCUACCUUAAGAGGGCAGAUUUUCUUUUCUCCUUCAAGUGUUUCUUUGUAAUUUAAAGCCUUUUAUACCUUCUGCGGCAAGGUGCUUUGGCGAAUUUCGUCUCCCUUUCUGUCGUUAAACGCAUAAUUAAGCAAUCCAAAAGGAACAAUUAAGAUACUAUGAGUUGAACGUCCAAAAUUUUUACUACGUAGCUUUGAAGAAUUCUAUAGUGUAUAAAAUAAUGGCAAUAAUUUAAUUAUGUAAAUUACUAUGGUUCUUAAUUUUGCUACGUUUGGAUCUUUCGUUUUUCUCAGGGAAAUAUUUACAGAAAUUUUCAAUGAAAUUCUGCAUAGGAAAAUACUAUAAAUUUUAAUAAAAAUCAUUAGAUAAUUAGUGAAACUUUUGUACUAAAUUUUCAAAGUUCUGCCCCUUUCUUUUAUUAUUUUCUUAUUUUAAAUAUGCUUCAUGUACAUUAAAAAUAUUAGCUACUCAGUCACGCAGUUUUUAAUUAUUUCAAAGCAACAAGUACAGAGCAAUAACCUUUAUUUAAAUUCCCUGCGUUAAAUGAAAUUCCUUUUCUGUUUAACGCGUUCGCUACCGAGCCUCAUAGAUCAUGCAUAGAAACCAUGCAUCCAUAGAUUCCUUGCGUUUUUCUGCAAAUAAAAUCAAAAGCAAAAUAAUUAGAUACUAAUUCUUUGAGUCCCACAAAUCUUAACCCAAUCCAUAAGAGAACUCAUUAGCAGCUUGAUUGGUAUCUAUUUUGAUUAAUACAUUUUCCAAAUUUUAUUGGAGAUAUGUAAAAGCUUCCAUCAGCUAUUUCCAGACUUUUGACAAAGUGCCAAAUGUAUUCAGUUUUUUUUAUUAAAAUAGUGACAAAAAGUAAUAUAUUCUGACUGACAAAAUUGCACCAUCUGCGAAAUAUUAAUAAAGAAAAUUUUCAUAAAAGCAAUGGAAGCUUUUGAAUACUUUUCAUAAUAAAUAAUUCCAUAGAAGAAAAAAUAUGUAAAGGUCAGAAAUUUAAUUGCAAACCUAAUAUAAUGUAAAUGAGUUUCCAUACAGUGUUUAUGAAAAAUAUGAGAUCUGAUUAUUAUUUAAUUGCUGUCCAUCCUCAGAUCACUUCUUUAUUAAGACUCUAACUAAAUUACACUUCAAUUUUCAUAGCUAUUCAUAAAUAAAGAGGGACAAAUAUUUCCAUAAUUUUAUGUAAUAUUUUGACUAAUUAAGAGUAUGUAAAAAUGUCUUUUGGCCAUGUAUAAAUAGUAGUAUCAAAUAUUUUGUUAUUAUGUUAACAUUUGUCAAUUUGUGUAAUGAUGACACGCCACUAGUUGUAUCUAUUGACAUAAUUGCAGUUUCAAUUACCCAGUACAAAAUGAUUAGUGAAAUGGCAAUAAACAUUUACAAAACUUAUAUAAUGAUAACAAUGAUUGCCCAUAAGUUUCACAAAUGAUUGUACAACAAUAAUAAUUAUUUUUAACUCAGCCCCAAUUAUGUAGAUAUUUAUGCACUUAUAGCAUACCAGAGCGUGCAAAAAAUAUGCAAAUUAUACAGUACACAUAAACAAAGCAAAACAAAUUAGGUAAAUAUGAAGAAUACACAAAAUGUGAGAAUUAAAACAGUAAUUUAAACACCCUAAAGAAAAAAAUAUUUUUAAAAAGUAUGGUAGUAUUAUAUAUUUGCACAAAAAUUCAACAAGACAGUAUAAAAGAAGAUUUUUUCUAUCGGCUCAGAAAUGAUAAAAUAUUUUUCUCAAAAAACCACUGUUAUUUAUAAAAUCUGAAUAAUAAAAAUUGCCAUAAAAUAAUGGAAGCUUUUACAUACCCCUAGUAAAUAAAUGUCGCGAAUUCGGUUUGCCAAGGUAACAGUUCUAACGAAAUAAAACUCGACAAGCAUACAAGUUAAGUCACUUAUUUUCGUAUAAAUUUCUUGCCUCUGAACAUACAUUGGCCGGAUCGGCUCGCCUGUAAAGUUGUAUUAAUCGACGUGAUGUAUCGGCCGCGUGCAUCGAAUAGAUACGAAUGGCUUGUUUCCGCCAAUCGUUCUGGGCCGGUAAAAAGCAGCUCCCUGUAUUUGUUUCCCCAGCGUGCCCCCAGUAAUUUAUACAUCUAAACAACCAUAAGCAACUCGUGUAACGACCAGCCACACAACUAUAAUUCUCGCUUCAACGACGAUAUAGUGGACGUAUAAAUGCAUUCAGAAAAACGAUAUCGAACAAUUUUUUAUUUAUUUAUUUUUUUUUUUUUUCGACAUACUUUCUCCUCGUUCAUCCAACCAGUGAAAGUGUUUCAAUUGAAAAGAAGAAGAUGAAAAAAAAUAACAACGCGACUGUUCGUAACAAAAAUAGGAAAAAAUGGGCUCCACGUUUUUUUCGUUCGAUAUUGAAUCGGACGUACAGUGGGUCACAUAAGUAUUCGCAUUCCAUCAAUCAAUAAUUUAAAGCGCAGAAUAUUUUUUGAGAAAUAAUUGUUGAAUUCAUUUUUAUAUUCCCCUUGGGUCUAUACGACCCCGAAUAAAAAUAAAAUUUUCAGAAGUACUAUACUUCGAAACAUGUUUGUCUAGAAAUUUUGUUCGAAAAAACUAAUAAACUUUUUUAAACAAACGUUCUUGUAUUUAAAAGAGUAUUUUUCUGUCUAAGAUAAAAUAAUUUUUGUAUUUAAAAAUAAUUAUAAUUUUGGAAGUCAAUAUUAGUUUGGGUGUUUAGAGACAGAUUGUCUAAAAUGAAAAAUUUGAGAAAAUUUAAUUUAUAUAUUAUAAUAGGAGUAGUUUUGUGACUUUUUGACACGUUUCCUCGUCCAUAGUUUCCUUAUUUCGCUUUCGAUUUCUGGAGAACGCCAGUGUGCAACCACAGGCUUGCAUAUUCAUGUACACUUCUGUAUAUAGAUUAACUACAUAACAGCUACCGUUGCAGAGUAUGUACAGAUCGUUUGAUAGCCAGCGAGAGUGAAACCGGAAAUGGAUCGAUCGACGGCACAUUGUCACCUCGGAGAGACGUUCACCGGAACCAAUCAAUAAUCAAUUCACAUAUUCCUUUAACGUUAUCCUCUUCUUCUUUUGCUUACUUUCUGACACGUGUUACCGUUCUUCUUCUUUUCAUAAAAAAGCUGUUCGUAGCUUUUAUAUAAGAUAAAAUUAAUUUUGUUUGAUAUAAGCAUAUCAGCAGUAUUUCUUCAUCGAACUGGUAAACAGAAAUUAAUUUCACGAGUCAAAUUAUCCAGAUACAGUAUUGAAAUUUCUUCAUCUAAUAAGACAUUGAAAAACUGAAUUACCUUUAAUGAUUCAUCAGAGCAAUUAAAAAGCUCCUUAGUUAAGAGAUGACAGUGAAACGUGAUUAUCGAUUCGAAUUCACGUAAAAUAAUGCUGCUGGCGGAAAUGUUAAUGAACAUAUUACCGAUAAAGUAUUCGGUGCGUUAAGCUAUGUUGAAUUAUCAUCGAAUAGCGACUAAUAUUUCUUUGAAAAUAACUAAUUGCUCUCGAAUAUGAACCCAAGCUAUGUCUACAUAGGUAUUUAAACGACUCCCUCUGUUUAAUUUCCUUGCGACAUGUUACAUGAACAUUGAAAUUAUUACUCGUUGACAAUUACAACAAAAAAGUCAUCACCUUUUAUCAAAUACACUUAACAUUCUGAUCGUCCACUCUCGAACAGUGACAAUUGAAAUUUUCAAAAACUUCAUUUUUCUUUUAUCAGCACGGUUUAAUACAGGAAUAUAAAAAUUGAUCUGUGUUAAAUGGUUAAAGGAGAUGUUUUCACACAUUUCGAAUAAUCCGAUUCGGAUCGAAGACAGAAGGUUGACAAUUGAUUCCGGUGAAAUGAAAAGAGAGAAAGUAUCGGUAAAUAUUGAGCAGAGCGGGAUAGCAGGAAUGGCAUAGGAAUUAAUGUAACGCGAAAAGAACGAACAAUUGGAGGCAAACGGGAAAUGGUACCGACACGAUACCAUCGGUAUUGGAAUGCAAAUUAUUAACGCUCGUAUUUCGAGAAGUUGGUUUACGAACUUUUCCGCGGUAUUUCGUUUUAUCCAAUCAAUUUACCUCCAGGAGGCUUAAUGAAAUUUCGCCCCGUAUCGAACAGUCAGCCCACGUGUUUGCGAUCCUCUUCUCGAUUUUCGACCUACUGCUACCUGUACUCGCCGACGUGUUAUUCCAUACAAAUUUUGAGUAAAGUGAUUACUUUUCACCAUAUUUCUUUCCGAACGUCACACGAAAGUUACAUCGAUUCUGUUAACCGUGAAAGAAUUUUCGAAUCGAAUCUUUUAUGUUCUUCCACCUUACUAUUACAUAAAGGAAUGUAUUUAGGUAUUGUUUUGAUUUUGCUGCAACUUCUGAAAUUUUUAUUAAGUAAUUUUUUAAAAUCAAAUAUUCAGAAUUCUAUUUUGACACCCCUUCCAAACGUAAUAUCUUAAACGAUCACCAAACAAGUAUCUGGUGUCAGAAAACAAAGCGAGCGUACUUCCUGAAAAUCCAAAAUCGUUCGUCGUCCAUAGAGGUUCAUAAUUGAAACGUCCGAAGUAUUAACAAAGGCUCCCGAAAAUUAAUCAGCGAUUCCCUUCAGCGGAGGCUUGCUUCUAUUGGUCGAGACCACGGUAGAAAGAGGCGGUAAUCAAGAAAGGGGUCCCUAGAAGGGCGGCAAAACAUUCUCUACCUGGUCGAUCGCGUUUCGUCAUCAUCAAAGUACAAUUCGUGGGCCAUCACCGACAGAACUCGGUCCGGCUGGCUAGAAAGGGGAUUCCAUCAAGCGACCGCGGAAGGAGCCAUUUUUGUCCUGAUGAACUUUACAGACCGAAGGACAGGGUUACGGAAGGGGAGAUUAGGCGGCGAGGGUGGUAGGAAAGGGGGAAACGGAAAGGGUCGAGAAGCGGAGGCGGAGACAGCCGAGUCAGAGACCGGUAGCGCGUGCUUGGGAAAUUAAUUAAAAAUUAUCCGCGAAACAAAAUUCGCCGACAAAGAAGAGUUCGAAAACGAGGUUUUCCACGAUCGGCGGCGGUUCCUUCGCGAUCCCCGUGAUCGUAACUUUCGCCGUUGUCCAUUGCCCGGAACGAUGGAUUCUGUCGUUGGCCGAUGCCCGGGAGUAGUGGCUACCAUUCGCGCGAUACCGCCGGUAUAAUAUUUCAAAGUGCCUAAAACCGAAACGGCCGGGAAAAUGGAGGGCAGCCAUCUUCGGCGUGGCUCGCAGGAACGCGGAGCACCCCGUGGUGCCGCCACCCUAUCAGCGAGGCCGUACAACGCGGAGAAACACGAGGACAAGAGGGUUGCCGAGGGUUGGCCUGAGGUUGAGGGAUCGUUUAGCAUUCGUCGUCGUUUUCGUUUCUCCGGGCAAAUGGGGGGUUGCGCGAACGUAGGAGAAAGACAGGGGGAGAAAAGAGAGACAAGCCGAUAGGGUGGACGAUGAUGUUCCUCGCCCUCGAAUUCUUUCUCCCUCCGCGACACCCUCAGCUGCUCCGCGCCGAUCCCUUUCGUUUCGCCGUCCUCCUCGCACCCGGGGUUCGACGUUUUUUCGUUGUUUCACUUGGAAAAAGCAAGUCUCCGCAAACAAAGGGCGAGGCUGUACAGAGGCUGGCCUGGAUAAGCGGCCGAUCGUGCGAUUAUAACGGCAGGGAUAAUGCUUAUUAUGCGCCACAGCACGGCCUCCAUCGUCGUUCCAGCCCUCAUGGGAACGAAUCCUCGCCGGAGAACAACGCGAUACGCCCCGCGACCGGUCUCCUCAAGGAUUAACCGGCUACCACGAUUUCCCUUUAGCUGGUCUUUUGGGGUUUUUCUGUCGCCCGUUUCUAUUUUACGCUAAUGGCUCGUUUCUCUUUUUUUCCCCCCCGCUCGUCUCGAAACGAAGGAACGAGGAUCAGAGAGGAUACUCUGAACCCACGAGCGGGCAACGCUUCGUGCCGUACCAACAUUUUUGAGCCACUACCCCCAUUUCGAUUCGAUUUCCUUUCCCUUCCGUAUGGACAAAGAGAUAUGAAUCUUUGAAAAGCGUCAUUUUGUUUUAGCUUCAGUUUUUGAAGAUUAAGAUUUCGUAGUGAACAUUUCAGAGAUUAAAUCUUCUGUACCUUCUGUUUAACCCUUGCCUGUGUAGACAGAUAUAUUAUAGAAAUCAUUGGUACCUAAAUGACGGGUUUAAACUUAAGACUUUUAGCUUCAACCUCCUUCCAAAUGUGUCAGCCACUAAGACAAAAUAUUUUAUUUAACCCUUGCCUUCAAACAUCGAAUCACCCAUUUAAAUCAGAAUAAAUAUUAUCAGGCAGUUGAUAACUAAUCCUGAUGCAAUGGAAAAAUAAUUAAGUCACAAGGACGAAUUAGCGGUACCUAAUUGAUAACUCGAAAUGUUCAAACCCUUUUAAGUAAAUUCAAAGGGUAGUUCGACAAAUAUACCUCGCGUUUUCCCACAGCUUCCUCUACUUGUUUUUCUCUGUUGAAAAAAAGUUCAACAACGAAAGAGAAUUGGAGAACGGUAUUCACGCGAGUUCUUCUUUUUUCUCUUUUGAAAUAACUCGGAACUUCCGCUUUUCUUGCAAGCCAGCUCUCAUUACAACCUUCAUCUUACUUUUAAGUAAUGUUUGCAUUAACACCUCUAGAAUCGUUCAACAUAUUUUCUUUCUUAAUACGAGGUAGAAAGAAUCUCACAUUCGCUCGCGGGCAACCGCUCGUUUAAAACACGGUUAAGAAAAUCUCGUUUCCGGCUUAAGGUUUCCACCGGCAAAUAUAACGUUUCACUUGGAGUGAAAGCGAGAGUGAAGGAAAGGAGUAUAAUCAAGGUAAAUAUCGGCUAUGUUUUCUUCUCUCGAGGUCGGCCAGUACGGCACCAGUCUAAGCCGAGUACAGACGUUAAAAAUGAGUUUCGCGAAUCUCUCGCGAAAACCCAGCCAGUUUCGACCCGUUUACACGCAUCGGUACACCGGGACGAAUAUUCCAUUCAGUCCGAGAUUCGUCUAUCGAAAAUGAUCACAAAUUGCAAUUCUCCGCCAAACGAAAUAUACCUGGAGGCGAAGAACUAUCGAUAAAGUAUCGAUUUUUAUCGAUAACUUUCACUAUCAAAUAUAUCGGUGUUUCGAGAAAAGUUUAACUCAUAAAUGUUAUAGAAUUUCGAUUAUCGGAAUUAUCGAUUGAUGUCAAUAGUCCUUCACUUCCGAUAGGGCGCAAAUAAGGUGAUUCGCGGGGGGUUCGUGGAUCCGGUGUGUACGCGGCUUAAGUCUCCGAAGUCGUACAAGGCCAAACGCAGAGAGGGUUGACUCGAGUAAAAAAGCUGUUGGAUUGAAUCCUUGGCCGGCAUUGUUCCGAAUAAUUGGACUAUUAACGAGAAAUUCCGUGGCUGUUUUUUUAUUUUUUCAAGAUCGACACCGACUAACUGACGCGGCCGUUUCGUAAACACGCAUCCGCUCGUUCCUCCUCAGAGGAAUCCAGUAUCUACGAACAAAGAACCGAUGUUCGUGACAACCCUGGCUCAGAUAACCAACCGAUCGUAUGAUUACAAUAAUGUGUAUUAUGCACCGAUGCAGUAUGAACGGUUCCGGUACUUCCGGUAAUGAAUACUCCCCCGAGAACAAUAAGCUGUUCUUCGAGUAUAAACCGAUUAUUCUUCCCCUUCCACCCUUCUUCUUCUACGUUUUUCCUUUCUUUUAUUAUUCGACCAUCGAUUAUCACUGACUGGGAUGGUUUUGCACUCGUCACCUUCAAAACAGCUGGAGGGUAAUCGUGGAGCGAUACGAAUUCGGGUGAUCGAAGGAUUCUUUCGAAGCACAAAAAUGAACGAAACCCAUGUUUUUAUUAUCAAUAGUGAAGUAGAUUAAAUUUCAUAACGUGGAUGAAUUUCAGUAUGUUUAAACAUAAUCGUGGUACGCUUUGAUUGUUUAGAUAUUAUUAGAUCUAUGACAAAUUAAAAAUAAGUAAAAUUGGGGAUCUCUUCAUGGUCCGCCGUUCGAGAAUUAAACAGCAGUUAAUGAAUAAUCAUUAUUUUCCUCUAUAAUUUGUAAUAUUUAUUCAUUUUCGAAUGGAAAAGAAUUGCCAAAUAUUUAAUUUGAAAAAAAUUAAUGAAAUAUCGUUGUUCGCGUAACCACCUGAUGAAACUAAACUAAGAAUUACCGAAUUUUUGGGUCAGCUUUGAUCGUUGUCUCUGAAUUAACGCGAACACUUUGCGAUGCAUUGUUACGUGCAAGCUCCACGCCAUAUGAUUGGAGAACUCUGGUUACGAACAAUGGCUCGGAUUAACUGAACCCGUUACAUACGUGACACGUGUUCGACACACACGUGUCCGAUCGAUCGGAAAACUUUUUUGGAUCCUUUUGCAGUCAGACGUUUUGUGUCCCCGAAUUCCCGGUAUACUGACCGAAAUUAAACGCGAGGGAAAAAAAGGACAAGGAGAACGUCACGUUUCAUUUAUCACUCGAAACCUCCCACACUAUUGCGUGAAUGGAAAAACAAUUUACUUCAGAAAAUUAACCCUCGUCGUACGAUGUCUGGAUUUAUUUGGGUACAAAAAUAACUACGUAUAAAUGAGGGUUAAAAUUUUCUUUACUAGCCUAAGUACCCAUCGACAAAAUUCAUAUAAAAAACAAAACGAAUAGUUAUUCAUUUAACGCAUAAAAGCCAUUAUUUUUUUCUUUCCAAUUAGACAAACGAGAAAUAACAACUAACAAAACAUUAAUUGGAGGAAAAACGAAAGGCGCGAGAAGCAGCAUCGAUUACUUUUGACGAUCACCUUUUUUUUUCGUUAUUCCCCCGUCAACGAGGAUCUGUUCGACGAAUAAUUUCCUUUCGCGAGCCGAUGCUAUUUUCGAAUUAGCUUGAACUAACCGCAGCCUUUGGCAUUUAUUCGAUCUGUACGAUCAGAGUAUCGCAGUUACAAGUAACAAUCCGAUUUUAUUUGUUCCCUUGCACACACGUUUAACAAACGUCUAUCAACGAUCUGAAACAGCUGAAAAUUCAUUGGCAAUAUUCGAACCCUCGACUGAUACAGAUAACCGGAUAGUAAUUAAGGAGACGUAAUUAAAGUCAUCUAAUACAUAAUUUUUUCCAAAAUAUAUGCAUUAAAGGUUGAAUAAUCAUAAACGCUAAUUUUCUGCAUUCCAAAAGGGCAUGCAUUUCAUUUCUGGAUUGAUCCAUAAUUAAUUAACUGACAACGAAUAAUUAACGAAGAAAAUUAAUAGUCUUUUUUAGCCGUUGCUAUGAAUUCUUUAAAAUAAUGUUGACGGCUAAACGAAUCAGAGGAUGCAGUAUUUGUACCGUGUCGACGGUGGCUGUUGCAUUUUAAUGUAUCCGAGAAAUACACCAUCCCGAUGCAUAAGACAAACCCUCCCGUAAGGAGAACUAUGAAUUCACCUAAACAGAAACCAUAAAUAAUCCUCAGAGAAAAGCUUCGUCUCGCAGUGAAUCUGCGAAUCACCGAAAAGUCAUGAAUAAUUAUAAUCCCUUUCACCAGCUUUCAAAAACAUGGAUAUUUUCCUGUUCCAUGGAAAAUUCUAGGAUAAACUUUCGUAAAAUUUUCCUCGUUACAAAUAGCGAUAUGAUAUAAAAAUUUUCAAAUUUUUCUGUUAUUUAAGCUUCCCUUUAUUCUUAAAUUAAUUUCUUUGAAUACCAAUGCAUGCUGAUCAUUUCCUCGAUUUGUUAAGCAAUCAAAAAUAUAUUAUUCAAUAAAAACCCAAGGAAAAAUCGAGGAACUUUAAUAUAGGAGGAGAUUAUUAAUAUAGAAACUAAUGACAGUAAAAAAAGACAAUUAUUUUUAAUUGGUUUCAUUAAAAUAGGAGCUUUUCCAAUAUUUACUGAGCAAAAAAUAAAUAUGAUCAAUAAAAAGGCUGCAGUUGCAUUCGAAAUUUAUAAGUAGAAAAUUAACUUAACAAUUUCUUUUAUAAUUAUUUUUCCCGCUUUCAAUUUUGGGGCAUAAAAAUGGAGAAAUGAAAACGAAGACUUGAUGUUUCAAAAAACGCUCACAUUUAUAAAAGCUCCUCGAUUGCAACGACCCAUUGCAUUUUUUCGUGGCCACGUGCAUCGGACUGGGUGGCAAAGUUCGAAACCGGUAACCGAAUAGAAAUCGAUUGAAUCAAUGAACGAGGAGGGCCAAAGUGGUUCAGGUCGACGCACGUGUGACGAUAUUAAUGUACCGACCGAUCAAUGGCCUAAUGAAGAUGUAUUCAGUUCCUGGCAAUUUCUAAACCUGCGAGAACCCUAGGGCCUUGAAUUUCGCGAGCUCAGCUGAUCGAUCGGUCAAUGGAUCGAACGGGUCGAUCAAUUUUCUCGGAAUAAACGGCACGCGACCCCUUUCAGAUCGCGUGUAUUAAUCUACCGAUAAAAUAUCACGGUUCUCUUUUUUUUUAUUUUUCCUUCUACCUUUUUUCGCGUGUUUGUGUUUUUUUUCAGUAUCCUGCCCACGAGUUCGUGAAAUUCAAUUGCAACGCUUUGGAAAUCAAAAAGUUACGCGAAAGUGAAAUAUCGACGAUUUUGUAAGGAAAAAAAUUGUAACUGUUUGCAAAAUUAUACAAUGUUUCAUUAUCCAAUAAUUUGAAGGAUUUUGUUUGAAAAAUAUUUUCAUUCUUUAAUCAGAUCUCUGAAGAAAUAUUAAAUUAUUAUUAAUAAAAUAAAAAAACGUGUACAUUCUGAAAUAUUUUGUCAGAAAACUAAGUUGCUGUUCAGAAUUCUAUAACUGGAAAAUUAUUCAUUUUCCUUGACUUUCAAUGCCAACAUAUUUUAUUAACAGCAUCAGGUUAUUAUAAUUUGGGAGGAAAUAAAUCUCUUGAUUGAAUUUCUCGAAACAUCUCCAAAAGAAUAAGAGAAGUCCUGUUCGUCAAUGGCGGCGGUCCGACGGGGAAUCAUUAAACAACACUCUAAUAGUCUGAAUUUACACGAAAUAACGUUUUGAAUAUUUUAUAAAAUAAUAAAUAGUUAAAAAUGCUAUCUAAAAAUUACGAAGAAAAUUCAAAUAAAUCCAGUAUUUAUUUUUUGGUGAUUGUUUUGGAGAGGCAUUCAAACAUUACUUCCAUGCUUAUUAACAUUUCAUUACACGUUAUAAACUCGACGAGCUUCUGGAAAUCAUUUUUUCAAUUACAAUCUUCCCCGUUACAUCGAGUAAUGUAUUUGUUAAUGACAGUAAUCGGGUAACGAACGCGUGCAUUGCGCAAACACAAAUCGUUUACAAAUUACAGAACCGAAAUACACCUAUUGUCCUUCUACACCAUGACAGCGAUUUAGACCAACAAAUGUUGAAUGAAUUUCUAUUGAAAAUCUCUCUUUACAAAUUCAAUAAUUCCAGGCAGGAUCAAAUCCAAACAUCGUAUACAAUUUUUAGAAUACUGUUUUCGAGUCAUUUCAGAAACGAUCUAACAAUAAAAUAAAAAUAAAAUAAAGAAAGUAGGCUAUAAAAAGUGGAAAAUGCAUCGAAAUUGGAGGAAAUUAUCUCGUUAGACGACCCGGGUUGCCUUUGAUCGAAAAGAUAAUUACGGUAAAAAAUCCUAAAUAAUAACGGAUUUAAGGGUAAUCAAGAAAAGAAAGAAGGAGAGGGUGGUUAUCAGGGGGAUGAGAGUAUAAUUCAGAGUCGACAAGUCGUUGUUAUCAAUAACAUUUUUGCAGAGGCCGUAAUAUCCCGGGAAAGUAAUUAGAGUAAAUUCAGGGGUUGCCGAGCGACCCUUCCAGCCGCACAAAAUGGCGGCGGGAACCGCCCUUGCGAAAAAAAUUAGGCCUCCUUCCGCUGCGCGGUAAAAUUUACAUGAAAAAAAGGAACGCCCAGCGGCUUUCGGAAAACGAAGCUUCGACAAUGCGACUCAUUCUUUUUUCUUUUUACGCCUUUUUUUUUUAUUUUUUUUAUUUUUUAUGGGUAAAUCGAAGGGAGUCCACGUGGCGGGGUUGGCUGCCAGGGAAAUACCUGUAAUUUAUGUGUAGGAAAUGGAAAAAAUAUGGUAAAAGGUCACGUUCGCUGGUAGACUUUAAAAACGAUUAGAAUCUUAAUAUCCGUCGUAAAAUAUGGACCCGGGCAUUAUCAAACGAAUAAACAUGGAAAUAGACAAAAUGGAAUCAUUUGUUAACCCUCUGUAUACCUGAGAAUAUCGAAGUACUUCCUGAUCUAGAGUGAGAACAUUGAAUACGAUCGUGUCUACUAUUCAUGAUGCGGUCUAUUUAAACAAAACAGUUGUUCAUUUAGGAUUCUAAAGCUCUAAAGGACUCUAAACAAUUUUUAUACAUUAUAUACAUAUUAAAAUCAAAGAAAUAUUUAGGAGACAGUAAUUAAUUCAUAAAGGUACCAUGCAGAAGCUUUAAACCAAGAAGAGAAAUACGCUAGACUGGAAAAAUUGUUGCAUCCAUCACAAACUGGAGACAAAAAAAUCCUAAUCACCAUAAAUUACAAUCGAUACUUUGCGGAUAGGAAGCCGAAGACGGGG